UCGGAGGAAGGUGUGUAUGACGUCAAGUCAUCAUGCCCCUUAUGUCCAGGGCUUCACGCAUGCUACAAUGGCCGGUACAAAGGGCUGCGAUCCCGUAAGGGGGAGCGAAUCCCAGUAAGCCGGUCGUAGUCCGGAUUGGAGUCUGCAACUCGACUCCAUGAAGUCGGAAUCGCUAGUAAUCGCGAAUCAGAAUGUCGCGGUGAAUACGUUCCCGGGCCUUGUACACACCGCCCGUCACACCAUGGGAGUGGGUUGUACCAGAAGUAGGUAGCUUAACCUUCGGGAGAGCGCUUACCACGGUAUGAUUCAUGACUGGGGUG
RNAcentral lists this ribosomal RNA (320 nucleotides) under uncultured soil bacterium. RNAcentral describes it as "bacterial SSU rRNA". It matches the Rfam family "Bacterial small subunit ribosomal RNA", at positions 1163 to 1482 of the family's 1533-position model. The record is from RNAcentral.